GAUGAACGCUGGCUACAGGCUUAACACAUGCAAGUCGAGGGGAAACGACGGGGAAGCUUGCUUCCCCGGGCGUCGACCGGCGCACGGGUGAGUAACGCGUAUCCAACCUGCCUCUGACUGAGGGAUAACCCGUCGAAAGUCGGCCUAAUACCUCAUGGUAUCGUCUGCGGGCAUCCAACGACGAUUAAAGAUUUCAUCGGUCAGGGAUGGGGAUGCGUCUGAUUAGCUUGUUGGCGGGGUAACGGCCCACCAAGGCUACGAUCAGUAGGGGUUCUGAGAGGAAGGUCCCCCACAUUGGAACUGAGACACGGUCCAAACUCCUACGGGAGGCAGCAGUGAUGAAUAUUGGUCAAUGGGCGGGAGCCUGCACCAGCCAAGUAGCGUGCAGGAAGACGGCCCUAUGGGUUGUAAACUGCUUUUAUGCGGGGAUAAAGUGAGGGACGUGUCCCUCAUUGCAGGUACCGCAUGAAUAAGGACCGGCUAAUUCCGUG
Molecule: ribosomal RNA, 491 nt
Filed under: uncultured bacterium
Lineage: Bacteria
Description: partial 16S ribosomal RNA
Rfam family: Bacterial small subunit ribosomal RNA
Source: RNAcentral